Non-coding RNA from Trichobilharzia regenti, 45 nucleotides. The record is from Rfam. Lineage: Eukaryota; Metazoa; Platyhelminthes; Trematoda; Strigeidida; Schistosomatidae.
CAUCUAGUGACGAGUCCCAAAUAGGACGAAAUGCGCAUCCUGAGU